This 869-nucleotide ribosomal RNA is filed under the name Streptomyces parvulus. RNAcentral describes it as "bacterial SSU rRNA". It matches the Rfam family "Bacterial small subunit ribosomal RNA", at positions 632 to 1485 of the family's 1533-position model. Lineage: Bacteria; Bacillati; Actinomycetota; Actinomycetes; Kitasatosporales; Streptomycetaceae. The record is from RNAcentral.
ACGGGCAGGCUAGAGUUCGGUAGGGGAGAUCGGAAUUCCUGGUGUGUCCGUGAAAUGCGCAGAUAUCAGGAGGAACACCGGUGGCGAAGGCGGAUCUCUGGGCCGAUACUGACGCUGAGGAGCGAAAGCGUGGGGAGCGAACAGGAUUAGAUACCCUGGUAGUCCACGCCGUAAACGGUGGGCACUAGGUGUGGGCAACAUUCCACGUUGUCCGUGCCGCAGCUAACGCAUUAAGUGCCCCGCCUGGGGAGUAUGGUCGCAAGGCUAAAACUCAAAGGAAUUGACGGGGGCCCGCGCAAGCGGCGGAGCAUGUGGCUUAAUUCGACGCAACGCGAAGAACCUUACCAAGGCUUGACAUACACCGGAAACGUCCAGAGAUGGGCGCCCCCUUGUGGUCGGUGUACAGGUGGUGCAUGGCUGSUCGUCAGCUCGUGUCGUGAGAUGUUGGGUUAAGUCCCGCAACGAGCGCAACCCUUGUCCCGUGUUGCCAGCAGGCCCUUGUGGUGCUGGGGACUCACGGGAGACCGCCGGGGUCAACUCGGAGGAAGGUGGGGACGACGUCAAGUCAUCAUGCCCCUUAUGUCUUGGGCUGCACGGGUGCUACAAUGGCCGGUACAAUGAGCUGCGAUACCGCAAGGUGGAGCGAAUCUCAAAAAGCCGGUCUCAGUUCGGAUUGGGGUCUGCAACUCGACCCCAUGAAGUCGGAGUCGCUAGUAAUCGCAGAUCAGCAUUGCUGCGGUGAAUACGUUCCCGGGCCUUGUACACACCGCCCGUCACGUCACGAAAGUCGGUAACAGGUUCGGUAUGUGGCCCAACCCAACCCCUUGUGGGAGGGAGCUGUCGAAGGUGGGACUGGCGAUUGGACGAAG